Non-coding RNA from Ovis aries (sheep), 73 nucleotides. Lineage: Eukaryota; Metazoa; Chordata; Mammalia; Artiodactyla; Bovidae. The record is from Rfam.
UCCCUGCUGGUACAGUGGCUAGGACUCUGCACUCCCAAUGCAGGUGCCCCGGGUUAGAUCCCCGGUUAGGGAA